UACGGAGGGAGCUAGCGUUGUUCGGAAUUACUGGGCGUAAAGCGCGCGUAGGCGGCUUUUGUAAGUUAGAGGUGAAAGCCCGGGGCUCAACCCCGGAAUUGCCUUUAAGACUGCAUCGCUUGAAUCCGGGAGAGGUGAGUGGAAUUCCGAGUGUAGAGGUGAAAAUUCGUAGAUAUUCGGAAGAACACCAGUGGCGAAGGCGGCUCACUGGACCGGCAUUGACGCUGAGGUGCGAAAAGCGUGGGGGAGCAAACAGG
Molecule: ribosomal RNA, 257 nt
Filed under: uncultured bacterium
Lineage: Bacteria
Description: partial 16S ribosomal RNA
Rfam family: Bacterial small subunit ribosomal RNA
Source: RNAcentral